Molecule: non-coding RNA, 45 nt
Filed under: Schistosoma mattheei
Lineage: Eukaryota; Metazoa; Platyhelminthes; Trematoda; Strigeidida; Schistosomatidae
Source: RNAcentral
AUCCGGCUGACGAGUUCCAAAUGGGACGAAACGCGUGUCCUGAAU